This is a long non-coding RNA of Fundulus heteroclitus (mummichog), 1057 nucleotides long. RefSeq lists it as uncharacterized. The record is from RefSeq and is a predicted model, not a curated record. Lineage: Eukaryota; Metazoa; Chordata; Actinopteri; Cyprinodontiformes; Fundulidae. The transcript has 3 exons.
AUUGAGGAAUGUAUUGGAUAUAGAAGGGUGGACGCCAGUGGGGAGAGGAAGAGGACGUUUGAUUUGUUUGACUAAAGAGCAUCACUGGACUGUUGUAGCAAAAGUUUUUUUUGGGAACAAGCUGUAUAAAGAAUCUUUAUUCCUCUGGAGUUUGUGCGGCCAAUGAGUUCUGACGGCAUUUUAAGGGCAUUUUCUAAGACAUGUAAAGACAUGUUGUCCGCAAUAAUGGUCUGUUGAAACCAAAAGAAUGACGUUGAGCCUUGAUUAACUCGGGAGGAGUAACAGCCAGAACUCACGCCUGCUUCGGGCUGGAGAAGUGCAGAGAGGAGCGGAGGUUGCAGCUGCUGCAGAGCCGACAACGAGCAGCUCGUUAAUGGGUGACGUCGCUCUAUAGCAUCAGGGAAAGGCCGACUGCACGCAGGAAUUAGCCAAACCAGAAGCAGCUGUUGUCCGGGAGUGCAGCGGGCUUAAUUUGCCACCAAGUAACACGUUUAAAUUAAGUUAAAUGUGAAGAGGUGAAUUAACCUUGCUAAGCUUUAAGGGACUCAAUAAGUGCUUGAAGGGUAACAUGCUGCAGUAUACAUACAAGUCAGGUGUACACAUGUUAAAAGUUAAACUCAAGUUAAGAAAAAUAUAUACAUUUUGUUUUAUCUCAUUCAAGGAAGUUGAUUCCAGCUAACUUAAGACAGAUACGAGUGUUUUUUGUUUGUUGGUUUUAUUAAGGGUAACCAAGGUACCGAAAAGGGAAGUUUUGUGAUUUGGUUUUACAUGGAAAUAGUUUCUGUCUUGUAAUAGUUGAAAGAUUUAUUAUUCAGAUUAAGGUGUUUGUAACUGCACAACUAAGUUGAUCUUUAACUAGAGAAAUAAUUUAAGUUUAUGAACACAUUUAAAGGGUGUGUGUUUAAAUUAGGCUAAAUCUACAUACUUCUAAUGUAAAGAUAAUUAAGCUAAAGUUAAACAAUAAACCCCAAAGGAUCUAAACAAAAUGGACAAUGACAUGGCCAUGCAGGAAGACUGUGACCACAAGUGAAGCUUUUUCAGCAGAAGGCUUUAGGAA